GAUGAACGCUGGCGGCGUGCCUAAUACAUGCAAGUCGAGCGAACGGACGAGAAGCUUGCUUCUCUGAUGUUAGCGGCGGACGGGUGAGUAACACGUGGAUAACCUACCUAUAAGACUGGGAUAACUUCGGGAAACCGGAGCUAAUACCGGAUAAUAUUUUGAACCGCAUGGUUCGAUAGUGAAAGACGGUCUUGCUAUCACUUAUAGAUGGAUCUGCGCUGCAUUAGCUAGUUGGUAAGGUAACGGCUUACCAAGGCAACGAUACAUAGCCGACCUGAGAGGGUGAUCGGCCACACUGGAACUGAGACACGGUCCAGACUCCUACGGGAGGCAGCAGUAGGGAAUCUUCCGCAAUGGGCGAAAGCCUGACGGAGCAACGCCGCGUGAGUGAUGAAGGUCUUCGGAUCGUAAAACUCUGUUAUUAGGGAAGAACAAAUGUGUAAGUAACUGUGCACAUCUUGACGGUACCUAAUCAGAAAGCCACGGCUAACUACGUG
Molecule: ribosomal RNA, 497 nt
Filed under: uncultured bacterium
Lineage: Bacteria
Description: partial 16S ribosomal RNA
Rfam family: Bacterial small subunit ribosomal RNA
Source: RNAcentral